Molecule: RNA transcript, 1021 nt
Organism: Eriocheir sinensis (Chinese mitten crab)
Lineage: Eukaryota; Metazoa; Arthropoda; Malacostraca; Decapoda; Varunidae
Exons: 5
Source: RefSeq, a predicted model, not a curated record
AUGCAACAUCCGGUGAGCCCGUAGCCCGCCGCCCAGCACCAAAACAAACAUGGCUCGGCGUGGUGCUGCGCGCGAGGCCCAGGACGAGGAGCCGCGGACACUGAGCUGCCUACAGCCUGAAAUACUCCCCGUGCAAAUAAUGAUUGACGUGCUGCAAGAGAGAGGAAUGAAAGCAGCUGUGUUGCAGCAAGCAGACAGAGAAAAAAUAAUUCAUUUGUUCUAUAAAUACAUCACCCCAAAAUAUCAGCGUGACUGCCGAGACAAUCGCCGUGGAAGAUUAAUGAAAAAAAUACGAGAAAGGAAAGCAAUCAGGCUGAAAGAUGAUGACUGGAAAACGCUUGUGACAGAAUCUAAAAGCAAAACAUCCCUUGGCCUGUCUACAAAACUUGUCGCAAAUAAUGGUGGUGAGAGGUUGAAGCCGCCUCCUUCAUGCAUCAACACGGAGAAGAAAGUAAUCAAGCUUGGGGCUACAGCAAAGGCGUCAGCAGGUGAUUUAGAUUUUGUCAUCAUUAAGAGGAAGAACUGUGAAAACAAUGAUGAAGAAACCAGUACAAAGAAACAGAAGCUGUUUGAUGAUGAGAGGAAAAUUGAACCUGAAAAGAAUUCAGAGAAACAUGAAAUUGAUGACCAUGAAAGCAUAACUGGACAUGAGGAGCUGAAAUACGGAGGUAUACAAAAGAUGUAAGACGGGGAGGGACAGGAGGGCCCAGCACAUCCUCCUCCUGCCACUAAGUCUCAAGUGACACUGAACUACAAAUCAUUCAUCACUUCAAUGAGUUGCCAAAGAGCCAAUGGAAAAUAAAAAGAAGCCUAAGCUGGACCGGAAGCCAAUCAGUUGGCCCUAGCAUGUUAUAGUACUCAAAAUCUGGCAAUAUUUUAAGAUAGAUUUAAGGUGUAUGAUGGACAUAGAUUCUUUUAUGAAGCUUUUAUGAUUACUAAUGUGCAAGUCAAGCUUUUAUACUUUUAGCAAUAGAUCUGUUCUGUUGAUGGCUUUUAGGGAGGUUUUUACUUACAUUGGAAA